Molecule: ribosomal RNA, 672 nt
Filed under: fungal sp.
Lineage: Eukaryota; Fungi
Description: eukaryotic LSU rRNA
Rfam family: 5.8S ribosomal RNA (bases 192-345)
Source: RNAcentral
CAUUACCGAGUGCGGGUCCUUUGGGCCCAACCUCCCAUCCGUGUCUAUUAUACCCUGUUGCUUCGGCGGGCCCGCCGCUUGUCGGCCGCCGGGGGGGCGCCUUUGCCCCCCGGGCCCGUGCCCGCCGGAGACCCCAACACGAACACUGUCUGAAAGCGUGCAGUCUGAGUUGAUUGAAUGCAAUCAGUUAAAACUUUCAACAAUGGAUCUCUUGGUUCCGGCAUCGAUGAAGAACGCAGCGAAAUGCGAUAACUAAUGUGAAUUGCAGAAUUCAGUGAAUCAUCGAGUCUUUGAACGCACAUUGCGCCCCCUGGUAUUCCGGGGGGCAUGCCUGUCCGAGCGUCAUUGCUGCCCUCAAGCCCGGCUUGUGUUGGGGUCGCCGUCCCCCUCUCCGGGGGGACGGGCCCGAAAGGCAGCGGCGGCACCGCGUCCGAUCCUCGAGCGUAUGGGGCUUUGUCACAUGCUCUGUAGGAUUGGCCGGCGCCUGCCGACGUUUUCCAACCAUUUUUUCCAGGUUGACCUCGGAUCAGGUAGGGAUACCCGCUGAACUUAAGCAUAUCAAUAAGCGGAGGAAAAGAAACCAACCGGGAUUGCCUCAGUAACGGCGAGUGAAGCGGCAAGAGCUCAAAUUUGAAAGCUGGCUCCUUCGGAGUCCGCAUUGUAAUUUGCAGA